AUGAGGCUCCUCACGCACAACUUCUUGGCGUCGAACGUGAAGGGCGUGAGCACGGGCUACCCGCUCGCGCUGGAGGUCGCCAAGACGUCCAUCAAGGAGGUGGAGCUCAACGUCGACUUCCUCCGCGGGAUCCUUCCCAAGAUCGACUGGAGAGCGCUCUUCGCAGCCACCAGCGCCGCGGGGUUCCCGGAGCUCCUCGCCGCGGAGCAGCCGCCCGAGGCCGAGCUCUUCGCCGAGGGCGCCGCGGAGGUCGAGGGCAGCGCUAUCCGCCGCCUCCACCACGCGCUCCUCGAGAUCCACGUCGAGGAGGGCACCCUCGUCUGCCCCGACAGCGGCCGCUCCUUCCCCAUCCUGAAGGGCGUCCCCAAUAUGCUUCUCCAUGAGGACGAGGUGCGGCACUGA
Molecule: ribosomal RNA, 402 nt
Filed under: Triticum aestivum (bread wheat)
Lineage: Eukaryota; Viridiplantae; Streptophyta; Magnoliopsida; Poales; Poaceae
Description: partial small subunit ribosomal RNA
Source: RNAcentral